AUGAACGCUUGCGGCGUGCCUAAUACAUGCAAGUCGAGCGAACAGACGAGGAGCUUGCUCCUCUGACGUUAGCGGCGGACGGGUGAGUAACACGUGGAUAACCUACCUAUAAUACUGGGAUAACUUCGGGAAACCGGAGCUAAUACCGGAUAAUAUAUUGAACCGCAUGGUUCAAUAGUGAAAUACGGUUUUGCUGUCACUUAUAGAUGGAUCCGCGCCGCAUUAGCUAGUUGGUAAGGUAACGGCUUACCAAGGCGACGAUGCGUAGCCGACCUGAGAGGGUGAUCGGCCACACUGGAACUGAGACACGGUCCAGACUCCUACGGGAGGCAGCAGUAGGGAAUCUUCCGCAAUGGGCGAAAGCCUGACGGAGCAACGCCGCGUGAGUGAUGAAGGUCUUCGGAUCGUAAAACUCUGUUAUUAGGGAAGAACAAAUGUGUAAGUAACUAUGCACGUCUUGACGGUACCUAAUCAGAAAGCCACGGCUAACUACGUG
Molecule: ribosomal RNA, 496 nt
Filed under: uncultured bacterium
Lineage: Bacteria
Description: partial 16S ribosomal RNA
Rfam family: Bacterial small subunit ribosomal RNA
Source: RNAcentral